CUUCGACUAAGGUUCGAUUCGAGCGAAAGCGAGAAAGCGUUGCCAACGGCAACGACCCGAAGGGCGAAGCGCGCAGCGCUGAGUAAUCCUUCCCCCACCACCA
RNAcentral lists this small RNA (103 nucleotides) under Salmonella enterica. RNAcentral describes it as "partial RtT sRNA". It matches the Rfam family "RtT RNA", at positions 30 to 130 of the family's 130-position model. From Rfam's summary of the family: This family represents a bacterial cis-regulatory element known as RtT RNA. RNAcentral also lists the same sequence under 2 other names. Lineage: Bacteria; Pseudomonadati; Pseudomonadota; Gammaproteobacteria; Enterobacterales; Enterobacteriaceae. The record is from RNAcentral.